UACGUAGGGUGCAAGCGUUAAUCGGAAUUACUGGGCGCAAAGCGUGCGCAGGCGGUUUUGUAAGUCUGAUGUGAAAUCCCCGGGCUCAACCUGGGAAUUGCAUUGGAGACUGCAAGGCUAGAAUCUGGCAGAGGGGGGUAGAAUUCCACGUGUAGCAGUGAAAUGCGUAGAGAUGUGGAGGAACACCGAUGGCGAAGGCAGCCCCCUGGGUCAAGAUUGACGCUCAUGCACGAAAGCGUGGGGAGCAAACAGG
This 253-nucleotide ribosomal RNA is filed under the name uncultured bacterium. Its description in RNAcentral is "partial 16S ribosomal RNA". It matches the Rfam family "Bacterial small subunit ribosomal RNA", at positions 524 to 776 of the family's 1533-position model. The record is from RNAcentral.